UCGUUCAUUUUUCCGCGCUAAAAUUCACUACCGCGAUGUUUAUGACAACCAGAUGUCAAAGUUGUGGGCGUUUUUGAUCCAUGCAGUGAUUUCACCCAUCCCUUGGUAAUAGUCUAGCGGAUAGGAUCCACUUUGGCAAACACUUGGAAGCCGGCAUUGCUGAAAAGAAGCUGAUCCUGCAAAACGCUCCGUUCUUUCCGACCACUGAUCUCGGCGCUUGACAACUGAAUUUAAAAAAUCAAUUGAUGGUUUUCACUUGAUAUGCGUAAAAAACCACUAGACCAGAAGAAGAUGUAGAUACGGCACAGCCAAAGGGAAGAAUUUAAAUCGCAGCUGCUGGUGCUUGAAUCGCUGGAGCUUGAAUCGCUGGAGCUUGAAUCGCUGGAGCUUGAAUCGUUGGAGCUUGAAUCACUGGAGCUUGAAUCGCUGGAG
RNAcentral lists this long non-coding RNA (432 nucleotides) under Daphnia pulicaria. Its description in RNAcentral is "uncharacterized LOC124320097, transcript variant X2". Lineage: Eukaryota; Metazoa; Arthropoda; Branchiopoda; Diplostraca; Daphniidae. The record is from RNAcentral.